GCCGAAGGUGGGGCUGAUGACUGGGGUGAAGUCGUAACAAGGUAGCCGUACCGGAAGGUGCGGCUGGAUCACCUCCUAACAGGGAGACAACAAUUGAUCGUGAUGUUUAAGUUAUUUAUUCUUAAACCAUGAUCCUGUCACCUUAGGUCGAUCGGUACCUCAGAUUGAUAUCCAUAGAAAAAAGAAUUUUUCUACUUUCUUUGGGUAUUAAUAUCAGUUCCUAAACUUUGUCUAGGUCACACCCAACAAGGGUACUCCUGGGCCAUUAGCUCAGGUGGUUAGAGCGCACCCCUGAUAAGGGUGAGGUCCCUGGUUCAAGUCCAGGAUGGCCCAUUCGAUAUUUGGGGGUAUAGCUCAGUUGGUAGAGCGCCUGCUUUGCAAGCAGGAUGUCAGCGGUUCGAGUCCGCUUACCUCCACUGAUCGACCUCCUGAUAAAGAGUUCAAGGAGAUAUACUUUUGUUAGAUGUGACUUGGAAUUUUUGACUGAAACGGAACCUAGCUUCUUGUCAUUCCCAAAGCU
RNAcentral lists this unclassified non-coding RNA (520 nucleotides) under uncultured Prochlorococcus sp. RNAcentral's name for it is "partial may contain 16S ribosomal RNA, 16S-23S ribosomal RNA intergenic spacer, and 23S ribosomal RNA". The stretch from base 344 to 416 matches the Rfam family "tRNA". The record is from RNAcentral. Lineage: Bacteria; Bacillati; Cyanobacteriota; Cyanophyceae; Synechococcales; Prochlorococcaceae.